RNAcentral lists this ribosomal RNA (519 nucleotides) under uncultured eukaryote. RNAcentral's name for it is "SSU rRNA". It matches the Rfam family "Eukaryotic small subunit ribosomal RNA", at positions 1161 to 1693 of the family's 1831-position model. The record is from RNAcentral.
AGGGCACCACCAGGAGUGGAGCCUGCGGCUUAAUUUGACUCAACACGGGAAACCUCACCCGGCCCGGACACGGACAGGAUUGACAGAUCGAUAGCUCUUUCUCGAUUCCGUGGGUGGUGGUGCAUGGCCGUUCUUAGUUGGUGGAGCGAUUUGUCUGGUUAAUUCCGAUAACGAACGAGACUCUGGCAUGCUAACUAGUUACGCGACCCCCCGAGCGGUCGGCGUCCCCCAACUUCUUAGAGGGACAAGUGGCGUUCAGCCACCCGAGGUUGAGCAAUAACAGGUCUGUGAUGCCCUUAGAUGUCCGGGGCUGCACGCGCGCUACACUGACUGGCUCAGCGUGUGCCUACCCUACGCCGGCAGGCGCGGGUAACCCGUUGAACCCCAUUCGUGAUGGGGAUCGGGGAUUGCAAUUAUUCCCCAUGAACGAGGAAUUCCCAGUAAGUGCGGGUCAUAAAGCUUGCGUUGAUUAAGUCCACUGCACUUUGUACACACCGCCCGUCGCUACUACCGAUUGGA